This 432-nucleotide ribosomal RNA is filed under the name uncultured bacterium. RNAcentral describes it as "partial 16S ribosomal RNA". It matches the Rfam family "Bacterial small subunit ribosomal RNA", at positions 29 to 506 of the family's 1533-position model. The record is from RNAcentral.
AACGAACGCUGGCGGCAUGCCUAACACAUGCGAGUCGAACGAGAUCUUCGGAUCUAGUGGCGCACGGGUGCGUAACGCGUGGGAAUCUGCCCCUUGCUUCGGAAUAACAGUGAGAAAUUACUGCUAAUACCGGAUGAUGUCUCCGGACCAAAGAUUUAUCGGCAAGGGAUGAGCCCGCGUAGGAUUAGGUAGUUGGUGGGGUAAUGGCCUACCAAGCCGACGAUCCUUAGCUGGUCUGAGAGGAUGAUCAGCCACACUGGGACUGAGACACGGCCCAGACUCCUACGGGAGGCAGCAGUGGGGAAUAUUGGACAAUGGGCGAAAGCCUGAUCCAGCAAUGCCGCGUGAGUGAUGAAGGCCUUAGGGUUGUAAAGCUCUUUUACCAGGGAUGAUAAUGACAGUACCUGGAGAAUAAGCUCCGGCUAACUCCGU